This is a non-coding RNA of Daldinia loculata, 137 nucleotides long. Lineage: Eukaryota; Fungi; Ascomycota; Sordariomycetes; Xylariales; Hypoxylaceae. The record is from the annotation of a RefSeq genome assembly.
GGCGCAGUGGCGGAGUGGUCUAACGCGCAAGACUGUUAGUCUUCUUCCCCUUCGUGUAACCUGUCCUGUAAUUUUCUAACAUUCUCCAGAGAAAUCUUGUUCUUUCGGGAGCGUCUGUUCGAAUCAGGCCUGCGUCG